UACGUAGGGUGCGAGCGUUGUCCGGAAUUAUUGGGCGUAAAGGGCUCGUAGGCGGUUUGUCGCGUCGGGAGUGAAAACUCAGGGCUUAACCCUGAGCCUGCUUCCGAUACGGGCAGACUAGAGGUAUGCAGGGGAGAACGGAAUUCCUGGUGUAGCGGUGAAAUGCGCAGAUAUCAGGAGGAACACCGAUGGCGAAGGCAGGUCUCUGGGCCAUAACUGACGCUGAGAAGCGAAAGCAUGGGGAGCGAACAGG
RNAcentral lists this ribosomal RNA (253 nucleotides) under uncultured bacterium. RNAcentral describes it as "partial 16S ribosomal RNA". It matches the Rfam family "Bacterial small subunit ribosomal RNA", at positions 524 to 776 of the family's 1533-position model. The record is from RNAcentral.